Molecule: non-coding RNA, 111 nt
Organism: Acanthosepion pharaonis
Lineage: Eukaryota; Metazoa; Mollusca; Cephalopoda; Sepiida; Sepiidae
Source: the annotation of a GenBank genome assembly
CAGCUAUAUCACACUGAAACUCUGGUUCUCAUCCACUCACCAAAGUUAAGCAGUGUCAAGCUUGAUCAGUACCUAGAUCAGUGACCAUUUGGAAAUACCAGGUGCUGCAAG